Molecule: ribosomal RNA, 1306 nt
Filed under: uncultured bacterium
Lineage: Bacteria
Description: bacterial SSU rRNA
Rfam family: Bacterial small subunit ribosomal RNA
Source: RNAcentral
AACGUACGCUGGCGGCACGCCUAACACAUGCAAGUCGAACGAAGUAGCAAUACUUAGUGGCAGACGGGUGAGUAACAUGUGGGUAUCUGCCCUUUGGCCUGGAAUAACACGAGGAAACUUGUGCUAAUACCGGAUAAGUCUUUACAGAGAAAGCUUUAUGCACCAUUGGAUGAGCCCGCACUUGAUUAGUUUGUUGGUAGGGUAAUGGCCUACCAAGACUGUGAUCAAUAGCUGAUUUGAGAGGAUGAUCAGCCACAUUGGGACUGAGACACGGCCCAAACUCCUACGGGAGGCAGCAGUGGGGAAUCUUGCACAAUGGAGGAAACUCUGAUGCAGCGAUGCCGCGUGAGUGAAGAAGGCCCUUGGGUUGUAAAGCUCUUUCGUCGGGGAAGAAAAUGACUGUACCCGAAUAAGAAGGUCCGGCUAACUUCGUGCCAGCAGCCGCGGUAAUACGAAGGGACCUAGCGUAGUUCGGAAUUACUGGGCUUAAAGAGUUCGUAGGUGGUUGAAAAAGUUGGUGGUGAAAUCCCAGAGCUUAACUCUGGAACUGCCAUCAAAACUUUUCAGCUAGAGUUUGAUAGAGGAAAGCAGAAUUUCUAGUGUAGAGGUGAAAUUCGUAGAUAUUAGAAAGAAUACCAAUUGCGAAGGCAGCUUUCUGGAUCAUUACUGACACUGAGGAACGAAAGCAUGGGUAGCGAAGAGGAUUAGAUACCCUCGUAGUCCAUGCCGUAAACGAUGUGUGUUAGACGUUGGAAAUUUAUUUUCAGUGUCGCAGCGAAAGCGAUAAACACACCGCCUGGGGAGUACGACCGCAAGGUUAAAACUCAAAUGAAUUGACGGGGACCCGCACAAGUAGUGGAGCAUGUGGUUUAAUUCGAAGAUACGCGCAGAACCUUACCAACACUUGACAUGUUCGUCGCGACUUUAAGAGAUUAAAGUUUUCGGUUCGGCCGGACGAAACACAGGUGCUGCAUGGCUGUCGUCAGCUCGUGUCGUGAGAUGUUGGGUUAAGUCCCGCAACGAGCGCAACCCUCACUUUUAGUUGCCAUCAUUAAGUUGGGCACUCUGAAAGAACUGCCAGUGAUAAGCUGGAGGAAGGUGGGGAUGACGUCAAGUCCUCAUGGCCCUUACGUGUUGGGCUACACACGUGCUACAAUGGUAUCUACAACAGGAAGCAAAACAGCGAUGUUAAGCAAAUCCUUAAAAGAUACCUCAGUUCGGAUUGCACUCUGCAACUCGAGUGCAUGAAGCUGGAAUUACUAGUAAUCGUGGAUCAGCGUGCCACGGUGAAUGCGUUCCCGGGUCU